This 127-nucleotide transfer RNA is filed under the name Armatimonadota bacterium. Its description in RNAcentral is "Armatimonadetes bacterium tRNA-OTHER". It matches the Rfam family "tRNA". From Rfam's summary of the family: Transfer RNA (tRNA) molecules are approximately 80 nucleotides in length. Lineage: Bacteria; Bacillati; Armatimonadota. The record is from RNAcentral.
GAGAAUGUAGCUCAGUGGUUAGAGCAGUCAUACCGUUUCCGACCUUUAUCCGCUUUCGGGCGGGUCGCUGGCAAAUGGUUAUCGCGUACAAAGCGACGGGUCGGGCGUUCGAGUCGUCCCAUUCUCC